GCAAUACGGGAGCGGCAGACGGGUGAGUAACACGUGGGAACGUACCCUUCGGUUCGGAAUAACCCAGGGAAACUUGGAUUAAUACCGGAUACGUCCGAAAGGAGAAAGAUUUAUCGCCGAAGGAUCGGCCCGCGUCCGAUUAGCUUGUUGGUGGGGUAAUGGCCCACCAAGGCUACGAUCGGUAGCUGGUCUGAGAGGAUGAUCAGCCACACUGGGACUGAGACACGGCCCAGACUCCUACGGGAGGCAGCAGUGGGGAAUAUUGGACAAUGGGCGCAAGCCUGAUCCAGCCAUGCCGCGUGGGUGAUGAAGGCCCUAGGG
RNAcentral lists this ribosomal RNA (321 nucleotides) under uncultured bacterium. RNAcentral's name for it is "bacterial SSU rRNA". It matches the Rfam family "Bacterial small subunit ribosomal RNA", at positions 84 to 422 of the family's 1533-position model. The record is from RNAcentral.